CCUACGGGUGGCAGCAGUGAGGGAUCUUGGUCAAUGGACGAGAGUCUGAACCAGCCACGUAGCGUGAAGGAUGACUGCCCUAUGGGCUGUAAACUUCUUUUAUAUGGGAAUAAAACAGGGUAUGCAUACCUUCUUAUAUGUACCAUAUGAAUAAGGAUCGGCUAACUCCGCUCCAGCAGCCGCGGUAAUACGGAGGAUCCGAGCGUGAUCCGGAUUUAUUGGGUUUAAAGUGAGCGUAGGUGGAUUGUUAAGUCAGUUGUGAAAGUUUGCGGCUCAACCGUAAAAUUGCAGUUGAAACUGGCAGUCUUGAGUACAGUAGAGGUGAGCGGAAUUCGUGGUGUAGCGGUGAAAUGCUCAGAUAUCACGAAGAACUCCGAUUGCGAAGGCAGCUCACUGGACUGCAACUGACACUGAUGCUCGAAAGUGUGGGUAUCAAACAGGAUUAGAUACCCCUGUAGUC
RNAcentral lists this ribosomal RNA (460 nucleotides) under uncultured bacterium. Its description in RNAcentral is "partial 16S ribosomal RNA". It matches the Rfam family "Bacterial small subunit ribosomal RNA", at positions 338 to 795 of the family's 1533-position model. The record is from RNAcentral.